GUGGGGAAUAUUGGGCAAUGGGCGAAAGCCUGACCCAGCAACGCCGCGUGAAGGAAGAAGGUUUUCGGAUCGUAAACUUCUAUCCUAGGUGAAGAUAAUGACGGUAGCCAAGAAGGAAGCCCCGGCUAACUACGUGCCAGCAGCCGCGGUAAUACGUAGGGGGCAAGCGUUGUCCGGAAUGAUUGGGCGUAAAGGGCGCGUAGGCGGCCCGGUAAGUCUGAAGUGAAAGUCCUGCUUUUAAGGUGGGAAUUGCUUUGGAUACUGUCGGGCUUGAGUGCAGGAGAGGUAAGCGGAAUUCCCGGUGUAGCGGUGAAAUGCGUAGAGAUCGGGAGGAACACCAGUGGCGAAGGCGGCUUACUGGACUGUAACUGACGCUGAGGCGCGAAAGUGUGGGGAGCAAACAGGAUUAGAAACCCCGGUAGUCC
Molecule: ribosomal RNA, 425 nt
Filed under: uncultured bacterium
Lineage: Bacteria
Description: partial 16S ribosomal RNA
Rfam family: Bacterial small subunit ribosomal RNA
Source: RNAcentral